GAAAUGUGAUAAGUAAUGUGAAUUGCAGAAUUCAGUGAAUCAUCGAAUCUUUGAACGCACCUUGCGCUCCCUGGUAUUCCGGGGAGCAUGUCUGUUUGAGUGUCAUGAACUCUUCAACCCACCAGUUUCUUGUAGAUUGGAUGGUGUUUGGAUUUUGAACGUUGCUGGUCUUCGGAUCUUAGCUCGUUCGUAAAACAUUAGCAACUCUAAUUCGAACUCGGAUUGACUCAGUGUAAUAGACUAUUCGCUGAGGACACUUGCCUUGUGCUUGUGGCCGGAUGAGAUAAAUGUAGAAGCUUCAAACUACUUUAAAGUCAACUUUAGAUUAGACCUCAGAUCAGACAGGAUUACCCGCUGAACUUAA
RNAcentral lists this unclassified non-coding RNA (364 nucleotides) under uncultured Leucosporidium. RNAcentral describes it as "sequence contains ITS1". The stretch from base 1 to 105 matches the Rfam family "5.8S ribosomal RNA", at positions 50 to 154 of the family's 154-position model. The record is from RNAcentral. Lineage: Eukaryota; Fungi; Basidiomycota; Microbotryomycetes; Leucosporidiales.